GAGUUUGAUCCUGGCUCAGAACGAACGCUGGCGGCGUGCUUAACACAUGCAAGUCGAACGUGAUUGGAAGCUUGCUUCCAUGAAAGUGGCGCACGGGUGAGUAACGCGUGGAUAACCUGCCCUGGUAUCCGGAAUAACAUCUCGAAAGGGGUGCUAAUACCGGAUAAGCCUACGGAGCCCUCGGUCUCUGCAGGAAAAGGUGGCCUCUAUUUAUAAGCUACCGUAUCAGGAUGGGUCCGCGUACCAUUAGCUAGUUGGUGGGGUAAUGGCCUACCAAGGCRACGAUGGUUAGCUGGUCUGARAGGAUGAUCAGCCACACUGGAACUGAGACACGGUCCAGACUCCUACGGGAGGCAGCAGUGGGGAAUUUUGCGCAAUGGGGGAAACCCUGACGCAGCAACGCCGCGUGAGUGAUGAAGGCUUUCGGGUCGUAAAGCUCUGUCAGAGGGGAAGAAGUGGAAACGGUUAAUACCCGUUUUUCUUGACGGUACCCUCAAAGGAAGCACCGGCUAACUCCGUGCCAGCAGCCGCGGUAAUAC
RNAcentral lists this ribosomal RNA (539 nucleotides) under uncultured Geobacteraceae bacterium. Its description in RNAcentral is "bacterial SSU rRNA". It matches the Rfam family "Bacterial small subunit ribosomal RNA", at positions 9 to 526 of the family's 1533-position model. The record is from RNAcentral. Lineage: Bacteria; Pseudomonadati; Thermodesulfobacteriota; Desulfuromonadia; Geobacterales; Geobacteraceae.